GAUGAACGCUGACAGAAUGCUUAACACAUGCAAGUCUUUGGCGAAGCUGUGCUUGCACAGCCUAGCCAAGGCGGACGGGUGAGUAACGCGUAAGGAACUUGCCCUGCAGUCAGGGAUAACAGACGGGAACGACUGAUAAGACCUGGUAAAGUCAGGCGGACUCAUGUCCAGCCUGAUGAAAAGAGAUGCUGCAGGAGAGCCUUGCGUCCUAUUAGCUUGUUGGUGGGGUAACGGCCCACCAAGGCGAUGAUAGGUAGCCGGCCUGAGAGGGUGGACGGCCACAAGGGGACUGAGAUACGGCCCUUACUCCUACGGGAGGCAGCAGUGGGGAAUAUUGGACAAUGGGGGCAACCCUGAUCCAGCAAUUCUGUGUGCACGAUGAAGGUUUUCGGAUUGUAAAGUGCUUUCAGCAGGGAAGAAAAAAAUGACGGUACCUGCAGAAGAAGCGACGGCUAAAUACGU
This 462-nucleotide ribosomal RNA is filed under the name uncultured bacterium. RNAcentral's name for it is "partial 16S ribosomal RNA". It matches the Rfam family "Bacterial small subunit ribosomal RNA", at positions 28 to 506 of the family's 1533-position model. The record is from RNAcentral.